RNAcentral lists this ribosomal RNA (434 nucleotides) under uncultured bacterium. Its description in RNAcentral is "partial 16S ribosomal RNA". It matches the Rfam family "Bacterial small subunit ribosomal RNA", at positions 29 to 507 of the family's 1533-position model. The record is from RNAcentral.
AGCGAACGCUGGCGGCAGGCCUAACACGUGCAAGUCGAACGAACCUUUCGGGGUUAGUGGCGGACGGGUGAGUAACACGUGGGAACGUGCCUUUAGGUUCGGAAUAACUCAGGGAAACUUGUGCUAAUACCGAAUGUGCCCUUCGGGGGAAAGAUUAAUCGCCUUUAGAGCGGCCCGCGUCUGAUUAGCUAGUUGGUUGAGGUAAUGGCUCACCAAGGCGACGAUCAGUAGCUGGUCUGAGAGGAUGAUCAGCCACAUUGGGACUGAGACACGGCCCAAACUCCUACGGGAGGCAGCAGUGGGGAAUCUUGCGCAAUGGGCGAAAGCCUGACGCAGCCAUGCCGCGUGAAUGAUGAAGGUCUUAGGAUUGUAAAAUUCUUUCACCGGGGACGAUAAUGACGGUACCCGGAGAAGAAGCCCCGGCUAACUUCGUG